ACUGUCCGAGAGAACUCAGUCUGG
RNAcentral lists this non-coding RNA (24 nucleotides) under Cricetulus griseus (Chinese hamster). Lineage: Eukaryota; Metazoa; Chordata; Mammalia; Rodentia; Cricetidae. The record is from RNAcentral.